ACUCAAAUGAAUUGACGGGGGCCCGCACAAGCGGUGGAGCAUGUGGUUUAAUUCGAAGCAACGCGAAGAACCUUACCAAGGCUUGACAUCCCUUUGACCGCUGCAGAGAUGUAGCUUCCCUUCGGGGCAGAGGAGACAGGUGGUGCAUGGUUGUCGUCAGCUCGUGUCGUGAGAUGUUGGGUUAAGUCCCGCAACGAGCGCAACCCUUGCGUUUAGUAGCCAGCGGGUAAAGCCGGGCACACUAGAGGAACUGCCGUGGAUAACACGGAGGAAGGUGGGGAUGAGGUCAAAUCAUCAUGCCCCUUAUGUCUUGGGCAACACACGUGCUACAAUGGCAACAACAAAGUGAAGCGAGAGGGUGACCUGGAGCCAACCACAAAAAAGUUGUCACAGUUCGGAUUGUAGUCUGCAACUCGACUACAUGAAGCUGGAAUCGCUAGUAAUCGCAAAUCAGCAUGUUGCGGUGAAUACGUUCUCGGGCCUUGUACACACCGCCCGU
RNAcentral lists this ribosomal RNA (499 nucleotides) under uncultured bacterium. RNAcentral describes it as "bacterial SSU rRNA". It matches the Rfam family "Bacterial small subunit ribosomal RNA", at positions 899 to 1397 of the family's 1533-position model. The record is from RNAcentral.